This 254-nucleotide ribosomal RNA is filed under the name uncultured bacterium. Its description in RNAcentral is "partial 16S ribosomal RNA". It matches the Rfam family "Bacterial small subunit ribosomal RNA", at positions 524 to 776 of the family's 1533-position model. The record is from RNAcentral.
UACGUAGGGUGCGAGCGUUGUCCGGAAUUAUUGGGCGUAAAGAGCUCGUAGGCGGUUUGUCACGUCGGUCGUGAAAACCUGGGGCUUAACUCUGGGCUUGCGGUCGAUACGGGCAUCACUUGAGUUCGGCAGGGGAGACUGGAAUUCCUGGUGUAGCGGUGAAAUGCGCAGAUAUCAGGAGGAACACCGGUGGCGAAGGCGGGUCUCUGGGCCGAUACUGACGCUGAGGAGCGAAAGCGUGGGGAGCGAACAGG